CAGUAGCCGCGGUAAUACAGAGGAUGCAAGCGUUAUCCGGAAUGAUUGGGCGUAAAGCGUCUGUAGGUGGCUUUUCAAGUCCACCGUCAAAUCCCAGGGCUCAACCCUGGACAGGCGGUGGAAACUACCAAGCUGGAGUACGGUAGGGGCAGAGGGGAUUUCCGGUGGAGCAGUGAAAUGCAUUGAGAUCAGAAAGAACACCAACGGCGAAAGCACUCUGCUGGGCCGACACUGACACUGAGAGACGAAAGCUAGGGGAGCAAAUGGAAUUAGAUACCCCCGUAGUCCCUGUCUCUUAUAC
RNAcentral lists this ribosomal RNA (301 nucleotides) under uncultured bacterium. RNAcentral describes it as "partial 16S ribosomal RNA". It matches the Rfam family "Bacterial small subunit ribosomal RNA", at positions 509 to 807 of the family's 1533-position model. The record is from RNAcentral.